CUUAUUUUAGGGUGAAGCCCGGGCAGCCGACCCGGCUGCGCCGUAGUGGGAGGCCACGGCGAUUACCCAGGUGAAGGUCUUCCAGUACCUCGCAAGGGUUUUUUGCAUGUCUGAUACCUACGGCUCCAACAGGACCCACUGACUGAUGAUGGCUCCACCUGGACCUGCCAACUACUCCUGCAGCCCCACCCAGAAGCGGUUCAGCACACGGGAGGAUCCUGUCUCACACCCUACGAUGGCCCCCCGCCCCCACAACCCAUCAGCAGCAAGCACCCACUGCCAAGCUACCCCACCCCUUCCCCCAAACUACCUUUGGAACACCCUAGUCCCCAAAUUCUUGGGGAGACUGAUUUCAGUAAUCAUCAAAUUCUGGUCUCCCAUUCACUUGUCUCUGUGUGAAUUAAACCCUUUCUCUAUUGCA
Molecule: long non-coding RNA, 421 nt
Filed under: Homo sapiens (human)
Lineage: Eukaryota; Metazoa; Chordata; Mammalia; Primates; Hominidae
Description: HSALNT0387847
Source: RNAcentral